This 468-nucleotide ribosomal RNA is filed under the name uncultured bacterium. RNAcentral describes it as "partial 16S ribosomal RNA". It matches the Rfam family "Bacterial small subunit ribosomal RNA", at positions 28 to 507 of the family's 1533-position model. The record is from RNAcentral.
GACGAACGCUGGCGGCGUGCUUAACACAUGCAAGUCGAACGGAAAGGCCCUGCUUUUGUGGGGUGCUCGAGUGGCGAACGGGUGAGUAACACGUGAGUAACCUGCCCUUGACUUUGGGAUAACUUCAGGAAACUGGGGCUAAUACCGGAUAGGAGCUCCUGCUGCAUGGUGGGGGUUGGAAAGUUUCGGCGGUUGUGGAUGGACUCGCGGCUUAUCAGCUUGUUGGUGGGGUAGUGGCUUACCAAGGCUUUGACGGGUAGCCGGCCUGAGAGGGUGACCGGCCACCAUGGGACUGAGAUACGCCCCAGACUCCUACGGGAGGCGGCAGUGGGGAAUAUUGCACAAUGGGCGGAAGCCUGAUGCAGCAACGCCGCGUGCGGGAUGACGGCCUUCGGGUUGUAAACCGCUUUCGCCUGUGACGAAGCGUGAGUGACGGUAAUGGGUAAAGAAGCACCGGCUAACUACGUG